CCACAUUUGACUACAUUUUAAAAACACACUGGAAACACUGCAUAUAAACGUUAACUACAUUUACACACAUUUGACUACAUUUUAAAAACACACUGGAAACACUGCAUAUAAACGUUAACUAUAUUUACCCACAUUUGACUACAUUUUAAAAAUACACUAGAAACACUGCAUAUAAACGUUAACUACAUUUACCCACAUUUGACUACAUUUUAAAAACACACUGGAAACACUGCCACAGCUACUAUUUUUUU
RNAcentral lists this long non-coding RNA (251 nucleotides) under Nicotiana benthamiana. RNAcentral's name for it is "long non-coding RNA (NBEN_LNC009661)". The record is from RNAcentral. Lineage: Eukaryota; Viridiplantae; Streptophyta; Magnoliopsida; Solanales; Solanaceae.